GGAGGGGGCUAGCGUUGUUCAGAAUUACUGGGCGUAAAGGGCGCGUAGGCGGCCUGCCAAGUUAGGGGUGAAAGGCCCGGGCUCAACCCGGGAACUGCCCUUGAAACUGGCAAGCUAGAGUCCGAGAGAGGAUGGCGGAAUUCCCAGUGUAGAGGUGAAAUUCGUAGAUAUUGGGAAGAACACCGGUGGCGAAGGCGGCCAUCUGGCUCGGUACUGACGCUGAGGCGCGAAAGCGUGGGGAGCAAACAGGAUUAGAUACCCUGGUAGUCCACGCCGUAAACGAUGUGUGCUAGACGUUGGGGGUCUUAGGCCUUCGGUGUCGCAGCUAACGCGUUAAGCACACCGCCUGGGGAGUACGGCCGCAAGGUUA
This 370-nucleotide ribosomal RNA is filed under the name uncultured organism. RNAcentral's name for it is "partial 16S ribosomal RNA". It matches the Rfam family "Bacterial small subunit ribosomal RNA", at positions 527 to 896 of the family's 1533-position model. The record is from RNAcentral.